UACGUAGGGGGCGAGCGUUGUCCGGAGUUACUGGGCGUAAAGGGCGUGUAGGCGGUUGGAUAAGUCUGGUGUGAAAUGCUUCGGCUCAACCGGGGCGCUGCACUGGAAACUGUCUGACUGGAGUGUCGGAGGGGUGACUGGAAUUCCCGGUGUAACGGUGAAAUGUGUAGAUAUCGGGAGGAACACCUGUGGCGAAGGCGGGUCACUGGACGAUAACUGACGCUGAUACGCGAAAGCGUGGGUAGCAAACAGG
RNAcentral lists this ribosomal RNA (253 nucleotides) under uncultured bacterium. Its description in RNAcentral is "partial 16S ribosomal RNA". It matches the Rfam family "Bacterial small subunit ribosomal RNA", at positions 524 to 776 of the family's 1533-position model. The record is from RNAcentral.